RNAcentral lists this long non-coding RNA (3076 nucleotides) under Nicotiana benthamiana. RNAcentral describes it as "long non-coding RNA (NBEN_LNC029154)". The record is from RNAcentral. Lineage: Eukaryota; Viridiplantae; Streptophyta; Magnoliopsida; Solanales; Solanaceae.
GAGAGAGUAAUUAAUAUGUUCUGUGUCAUCUAUCAUUAUCUCUCUACUUGAACUAUGGACUUCCUAAACCACUCCAUUUGCAGCAAUUUUUUUCUCCAGCAAAAUCUUUGCCUUCCACUAACACCAAGAUAAACGAUAUCAUCUUCGAGCACUGUAGCAAUUAGCUUCAAAUUAUUGUUAAUAAAUGACGAUGAACCCUAUUUCACAACCGGAAAGAGUAAUCUUUUAAUAUGGCAUCAUCUUUUAAUUGUCUCACCACACACAAUCAUCUGUAAAGAAAAUACAGUCAGCUCUAAACAGGAGAUUUAGGGGUAAUUGUACACCUUGAACAAUUACUUGAAACCUUUUUUGCUGAAAUGGAGACUGAGACACUGCAGGCACAAAUACGUGAGCAUCUAACUGCUGCACGGAUGAGAGCUCAUCUUUUGUGUUUUUUAUAUUUGGGGGUGGGUGAGGGGGAUCACAGGUCUAUCUGGAAUCCCUCAUGUUCUAGAUAGAUGUUACUAGGAUCAAGCAUCCAUUAGAGUUGUUAGCUGAGCAAGACAAGAAAUAUUAGAAAACAAGAUCAUAGACAAGACACAAACUACAUCAAAAUCAGAGUCGUCAUUUAUUACCUAUGCCCAGUAAGAGAUACAAAUAGUUCUCAUCACAUUCUAGGACAUCCCAGAUCAUGAUUUUUUUCUCCUUAAGAAGAUCAUCAAAGGGUGUUAUAGUUGAAAUAGUUAUACCAUACAAGCUAAUUUUGAAUUACUUAAAAAGUUCAUACACUUUGACACCAACUAAUGAUACACCAAGCCCAGGCGCUAAAAAGACAAAUAGAAGUUGGCAAACUGCACAAUGCAGAGUGUCAAGCAUCAACCAAAAGUAGCAAGUCAAAUCUAUGCGUACAGAAGAAUGAUCAACUAACUCUAGAAGCUCAAACAGGUACCCGUCCACCGUCUGCUAGAUUAUUUAUAAUGGAUUCAACCAAAGGCUUCUGCACCACUCUUCUCUUAUGAUGUUUUUUCUUAAAGUGAGUGUCUGGGCACUGCAGACAAGAGCAACUAACCAUUCAGCUUUAAGUGAAGAAGAAAGGGUUAUUGGCACAUGAAAAACAUUUUCUGCAUACUUCCAGCAUAAAAAGGGAACUCACCAAGAUUGAAACUAGCAUAAGUGGUCCAGGAUAUGUAGAUACAAGUCGUUGGAAGGAAACAAUGGCAUUGGUAGAUAUGAAAUGACUGCAUUUAGAUAUCCAUUAACAGGUUUUCAAUAAACAUUUCUUAAGUGGAAUAUCAUGACUUCUUCAAGCCUUACACAUUUUUCAGACCCAGCUCGUUUACCCAGUACUCAGCCCGUGUGACCAACUGCAGAAGGAAAAGAUAGUCUCAACCAUGAUGGUAGCACAUUUAAGAAGUCAAGAGAGAGAACAAUACUACUAUAUAAACAGAAUGAAAGCAUUUUUAACAAGACAAGGUUAUUGCCGACAUACCUUAGGCCGAAUUUCCAAUCCCAGAAAAUUCCUGGAUGAAGAAUUUCUUUUAGCAAGCCACAUAAGAAAUCUCCCACUACCUGCAAUAUCUUUUACUUAGAUCUAAGAAAUUACAAGACCAUAGGACAAAAGAAUCUCAAGGAUAAAGGGAAGAGAAAAAAUUGGAAAUGUGUGAGAUAUAAAUUGAAAGACCCACAAUGUUAUAUGGGGAUGAGGGGUGAAUGUUCGGUCACUAAUAUCAGCAAGAUUAAAGGAAUCUCAAGGAUAAAGGGAAGAGAAAAAAAUUGGAAAUGUGUGAGAUAUAAAUUGAAAGACCCACAAUGUUAUAUGGGGGUGAGGGGUUAAUGUUCGGUCACUAAUAUCCGCAAGAUGAAUGUAAUAUAGAUGUGGAUGACAGAUAAAUGUGCAGUCAUAGACAAAUUAAGAAUGAAUUCAUCUGACAGAGAGCUGCAAACAGAACAUGUAGAGGAUAACAUGAAGGUAGCUUCAAAUGGCACACAGACCUCGAGAUACACUAAUAUGUAGGUGUGACAUGAUUAAAGACAGCAAGUGGAUGGAGUCUGUCUCAAUAAGCUUAAUAUCUCUCAGGCUCAUUACACAUUUAGCUAGAAACACGAAAAAAUGGAAGAAAAUUAUCCAUAUAGUCGACACCAACCAGUUGGGAUUAACGCUUCAUAAUGAAAUGCAUAAUAAAUAAUCCAAAGCUUUACUACUGUUAUAUUUUGUAAUACCUCAGACCUAACGACCCCUUUAAGGCAUAGGCAUAAAUUUCUAUUCAAUUUGUAAAACAAACCACCUUCGUGCAAUUUGAAGCAAGUUUGUUACAGAUAAUUGUUGGACCAUAAUAAACUACUAGAUCUUAAAUGGAAAACACGAAAUUUAAACUGAAUAAAUCAUAAGUAACAAUAGAAUGGUGACGAUAUCAAAGAGCAAGCAGGUUCCUACCACUCCCAAUAUCCACCAUCAGAGGCAAUGAUGCAUCCCCGAACACCUCCUUCCAGUUUGGUACUUCUGCAGGAAUCUUCUCAUGAUAAAUUAAUACAACAAAACAAAAAGAACCAUUUAAGUUGAAAUUUUUAUCCCCACUUGUGGAACUAUACUGGGUAUGUUGUUUCCAUCCUAAUAUUUUUCUUCCAUAGUAAAGUUUCACAAAUUAUAGCUGGGGUCAACAGAACUCAAUAGGAAGAGAGAAGCUUCACAUAUACAAAGAGCCAUAAUAUGUACCAUGAGAGCAUGUCGCAGAGGGUUGACAUGCGGCCUUAUCCGAAGAUUGCCAAUAUCCUAUUACAUCAUUUGAUGAAUGUGAGUAUAAAAAUGCACACAGGUAUUGCAAGAAAAUCACAAUAAUAGACACAAUUUUACCAAUAUAUCACUUUUGCCUUCGACGUCAUUAAAGUUAUAAAAUUUAAUCCAAAUAAAUGACUUCGUCAAUAGCUCAACUUGACCAACUUCUGGCAAUACUUAUGUCACAGGAAUAUUAGAAAAAUAAGGACAACAGCUCAGUUUGACCUAACUUCAGGCAAAAAAAAAAGUUUUUAAGUUUUAUGCACCUGGGUGGAAUAAAACAUAUAUACACAAUCAGGUCAGUCAUAAUGUAAUUACCAUUUA